RNAcentral lists this non-coding RNA (28 nucleotides) under Rattus norvegicus (Norway rat). The record is from RNAcentral. Lineage: Eukaryota; Metazoa; Chordata; Mammalia; Rodentia; Muridae.
UGCAGAGACAAGGCACUUACUUGGCUGU